Molecule: non-coding RNA, 75 nt
Organism: Myotis davidii
Lineage: Eukaryota; Metazoa; Chordata; Mammalia; Chiroptera; Vespertilionidae
Source: Rfam
GGCAGUUCUCGGGUGACACACCCUGGAAUUGGGCCCCUUCCUCUCUGGUUCCGGGUGUGUCACCUGAGAACCACA